UCUUGCCUAGGAUUGGCUCAAAACCCUAAUCCAAGCUAUACAAGUCUCCAAUUUCACAUCUUCCUUCUACAUGUAUACGAGCUAAUUUAUGGCGUGGAAGCGCACAUUGAAGAAGUUUAAGGAUCUGUAGAAGGAUCCUCUAGUUGAACCCAAAUUUAAAAAUGAAAGAAGUCUCCCACAUCAUGCGACACUGGGACAGGAUUCUAGAACACAAAUGGUGUCAAUAAAGGACGAGUUUGAAGGCCUAUAAUGUUCUUUUUUCUUAUCACAUAUGUACACUGACAUUAAACAAUCUACAAUAUUUUUUGUAAUGGAAGUAUUUACAUUAUUCAA
Long non-coding RNA from Solanum stenotomum, 333 nucleotides. RefSeq lists it as uncharacterized. The transcript has 3 exons. NCBI's taxonomy places the organism in Eukaryota, Viridiplantae, Streptophyta, Magnoliopsida, Solanales, Solanaceae. The record is from RefSeq and is a predicted model, not a curated record.